Molecule: ribosomal RNA, 51 nt
Filed under: ericoid mycorrhizal sp. Sd2
Lineage: Eukaryota; Fungi; Ascomycota; Leotiomycetes; Helotiales
Also listed under: 6 other names
Description: partial 28S ribosomal RNA
Source: RNAcentral
UGACCUCGGAUCAGGUAGGAAUACCCGCUGAACUUAAGCAUAUCAAUAAGC